AAACCAGCACCUCAAGUGGUCAGGAUGAUUAUUGGGCCUAAAGCAUCCGUAGCCUGCUCUGUAAGUUUUCGGUUAAAUCUGUAUGCUCAACAUACAGGCCGCCGGGAAUACUGCAGAGCUAGGGAGUGGGAGAGGUAGACGGUACUCGGGAGGAAGUGGUAAAAUGCUUUGAUCUCUCGAUGACCACCUGUGGCGAAGGCGGUCUACCAGAACACGUCCGACGGUGAGGGAUGAAAGCUAGGGGAGCAAACCGGAUUAGAAACCCCGGUAGUCC
Molecule: ribosomal RNA, 274 nt
Filed under: uncultured bacterium
Lineage: Bacteria
Description: partial 16S ribosomal RNA
Rfam family: Archaeal small subunit ribosomal RNA
Source: RNAcentral